This 437-nucleotide ribosomal RNA is filed under the name uncultured bacterium. RNAcentral describes it as "partial 16S ribosomal RNA". It matches the Rfam family "Bacterial small subunit ribosomal RNA", at positions 29 to 507 of the family's 1533-position model. The record is from RNAcentral.
AGCGAACGCUGGCGGCAGGCUUAACACAUGCAAGUCGAGCGGGCAUCCUUGUGGUGUCAGCGGCAGACGGGUGAGUAACGCGUGGGAACGUGCCCUUCGGUUCGGAAUAACUCAGGGAAACUUGAGCUAAUACCGGAUACGUGCGAGAGCAGAAAGGUUUAUCUGCCGAAGGAUCGGCCCGCGUCUGAUUAGCGAGUUGGUGAGGUUAUGGCUCACCAAGGCGACGAUCAGUAGCUGGUCUGAGAGGAUGAUCAGCCACACUGGGACUGAGACACGGCCCAGACUCCUACGGGAGGCAGCAGUGGGGAAUAUUGGACAAUGGGGGCAACCCUGAUCCAGCCAUGCCGCGUGAGUGAUGACGGCCUUAGGGUUGUAAAGCUCUUUUCUCCGGGACGAUAAUGACGGUACCGGAGGAAUAAGCCCCGGCUAACUUCGUG